This is a small nuclear RNA of Phodopus roborovskii (desert hamster), 104 nucleotides long. The record is from RefSeq and is a predicted model, not a curated record. Lineage: Eukaryota; Metazoa; Chordata; Mammalia; Rodentia; Cricetidae.
GUGCUCACUUUGGUAGCACAUCUUGUAAAUCUGAAGCAAUACGGAGAUUAGCAUGACCCUUGAACAAAGAUGACGUGAUAAUUUCUGAAGCAUUCCUUAUUUUA